Molecule: non-coding RNA, 85 nt
Organism: Pseudonaja textilis
Lineage: Eukaryota; Metazoa; Chordata; Lepidosauria; Squamata; Elapidae
Source: RefSeq, a predicted model, not a curated record
CCCAAGUCACCUAGUUGACUUUCAUGCCUAAGGUGGGACUAGAACUUAGAGUCUCCUGGUGAUUCACUAAAAGUCACCCAGCAGG